GUCUGCAACUCGACUACAUGAAGCUGGAAUCGCUAGUAAUCGCAGAUCAGGAUGCUGCGGUGAAUACGUUCCCGGGUCUUGUACACACCGCCCGUCACACCAUGGGAGUCGGAAAUGCCCGAAGCCGGUGACCCAACCAAAAGGAGGGAGCCGUCGAAGGCAGGUCUGAUAACUGGGGUGAAGUCGUAACAAGGUAAC
RNAcentral lists this ribosomal RNA (198 nucleotides) under uncultured bacterium. RNAcentral describes it as "partial 16S ribosomal RNA". It matches the Rfam family "Bacterial small subunit ribosomal RNA", at positions 1303 to 1500 of the family's 1533-position model. The record is from RNAcentral.